GAAUAUUGGACAAUGGGGGGAACCCUGAUCCAGCCAUGCCGCGUGUGUGAAGAAGGCCUUUUGGUUGUAAAGCACUUUAAGCGAGGAGGAGGCUACUUAGAUUAAUACUCUAGGAUAGUGGACGUUACUCGCAGAAUAAGCACCGGCUAACUUCGUUCCAGCAGCCGCGGUAAGACGAAGGGUGCAAGCGUUAAUCGGAAUUACUGGGCGUAAAGCGCGAGUAGGUGGCCAAUUAAGUCAAAUGUGAAAUCCCCGAGCUUAACUUGGGAAUUGCAUUCGAUACUGGUUGGCUAGAGUAUGGGAGAGGAUGGUAGAAUUCCAGGUGUAGCGGUGAAAUGCGUAGAGAUCUGGAGGAAUACCGAUGGCGAAGGCAGCCAUCUGGCCUAAUACUGACACUGAGGUGCGAAAGCAUGGGGAGCAAACAG
RNAcentral lists this ribosomal RNA (425 nucleotides) under uncultured bacterium. RNAcentral's name for it is "bacterial SSU rRNA". It matches the Rfam family "Bacterial small subunit ribosomal RNA", at positions 359 to 775 of the family's 1533-position model. The record is from RNAcentral.